Molecule: ribosomal RNA, 473 nt
Filed under: uncultured bacterium
Lineage: Bacteria
Description: SSU rRNA
Rfam family: Eukaryotic small subunit ribosomal RNA
Source: RNAcentral
ACCAGGAGUGGAGCCUGCGGCUAAUUUGACUCAACACGGGAAACCUCACCCGCCCGGACACGGACAGGAUUGACAGAUUGAUAGCUCUUUCUCGAUUCCGUGGGUGGUGGUGCAUGGCCGUUCUUAGUUGGUGGAGCGAUUUGUCUGGUUAAUUCCGAUAACGAACGAGACUCUGGCAUGCUAACUAGUUACGCGACCCCCGAGCGGUCGGCGUCCCCAACUUCUUAGAGGGACAAGUGGCGUUCAGCCACCCGAGAUUGAGCAAUAACAGGUCUGUGAUGCCCUUAGAUGUCCGGGGCUGCACGCGCGCUACACUGACUGGCUCAGCGUGUGCCUACCCUACGCCGGCAGGCGCGGGUAACCCGUUGAACCCCAUUCGUGAUGGGGAUCGGGGAUUGCAAUUAUUCCCCAUGAACGAGGAAUUCCCAGUAAGUGCGGGUCAUAAGCUUGCGUUGAUUAAGUCCCUGCCCUUU